This 63-nucleotide transfer RNA is filed under the name Dolichoris boschmai. Its description in RNAcentral is "partial tRNA-Leu". Lineage: Eukaryota; Metazoa; Arthropoda; Insecta; Hymenoptera; Agaonidae. The record is from RNAcentral.
AAUAAAAUAAUAUCUAAUCUAAAGUUUUUAAUAUAAUUAAAAAUAUCUAAUAAUGGCAAAUUA